ACUAACGCUGGCGGCGUGCCUAACACAUGCAAGUCGAACGAGUUGUUUACAUAUAGCAAUAUGCGUAAACGGCGAGUGGCGAACGGGUGAGUAACACGUAGAUAAUCUGCCUUUCAGACGGGGACAACUCAGGGAAACUUGUGCUAAUACCCGAUGAGACUACGGAGGGGGACCUCUGCAGCCAAAAGUGGGCGUAAGCUCACGCUGAAAGAUGAGUCUGCGUCCUAUCAGCUAGUUGGUGGGGUAAUGGCCUACCAAGGCGAAGACGCAUAGCCGGCCUGAGAGGGUGUACGGCCACACUGGGACUGAGAUACGGCCCAGACUCCUACGGGAGGCAGCAGUGAGGAAUUUUCCGCAAUGGGCGCAAGCCUGA
This 373-nucleotide ribosomal RNA is filed under the name uncultured bacterium. RNAcentral describes it as "bacterial SSU rRNA". It matches the Rfam family "Bacterial small subunit ribosomal RNA", at positions 29 to 386 of the family's 1533-position model. The record is from RNAcentral.